UACGGGGGGGAGCGAGCGUUGUUCGGAUUUACUGGGCGUAAAGGGCGCGUAGGCGGUCGUGACAAGUCACUUGUGAAAUCUCCGGGCUUAACUCGGAACGGUCAAGUGAUACUGUCGGACUAGAGUACAGAAGGGGCAACUGGAAUUCUCGGUGUAGCGGUGAAAUGCGUAGAUAUCGAGAGGGAACACCUGGCGGCGAAGGCGGGUUGCUGGGCUGAUACUGACGCUGAGGCGCGAAAGCCAGGGGAGCGAACGGGG
This 258-nucleotide ribosomal RNA is filed under the name uncultured bacterium. Its description in RNAcentral is "partial 16S ribosomal RNA". It matches the Rfam family "Bacterial small subunit ribosomal RNA", at positions 524 to 777 of the family's 1533-position model. The record is from RNAcentral.